Molecule: long non-coding RNA, 4476 nt
Filed under: Olea europaea (common olive)
Lineage: Eukaryota; Viridiplantae; Streptophyta; Magnoliopsida; Lamiales; Oleaceae
Description: long non-coding RNA (OEUR_LNC005961)
Source: RNAcentral
CGCUAGCAAUAACUUGCCUUGCCAAGUCAUUUGUUCCUGCAAGAACCUUAGUCCAGGCCUUCCUCCCUUCCUCGUACCUCGAAUACGAUGCCUCAGUCCUAAAGACCAACAAAAGUGCCAAGGCCGGUGCUGCCAACUGAUAGGGCAAAGAAGAGGCUCUCAAAAUGGGGAAAAACUCCGGUAGCCAAUGCAAUGAUACUGCUGAAUUAUAACUGGCUAUAAUUACAGCCACUGAAGUAAAUGCAAUCACUGGAGGAACCAGCGAUAAAAUCACCCGCGAACUGAGACUCGAUAAAAGAUGCCUUAAAUGCCUUAAGGAGCUUCUGUGCUGCACCCAUUUUUCAUGGUCAUAUAAGGACCUUUUCUGUUUCAUACCCCUUUCUUUCACACUGUCAGCCCAGUUGGGUAUUGCAUGAAGAAUCGACGACAGGGUCAAAGUUUCAUUCGAUGACGAAUCCGAUGGCUGUGAAGAACAAAGAAAUCUGAAAGUGAGUUUCUUGGAACUUUUGGAGGUAAAUGGUAAAUGGUGAAAGAGUGUAUGAGAGAGGGAUAGGUAUGCCUAUCAGCUGUUCACAUACCCCGAUACCAUCAUGAAAGCAAGAAAUUUUCGACUCCUGCAAUAAAAUCCAGAAAGUGUUAAAUCAUCUCGUCUAAAAAAGUUAAGAUCUCUGGUGUGGACAAGAAUUACUUCAUUUAUUUCAUCUCAGACGUGAACGGAUUCAAUUACCGUUGGAGACAUAAGAUGUGGAAUUUCUAUAAACGGGUGACUGUGUCAGUUGAAAUCAAAAUGCUUUGAUUUAUCGAGUCUAAAAUGAUAAUGAAUUAACCCUAAUCCCAACCGCAGAGCAAUAUAAACAAAACAAAAUGGGAAAAAUGCACAUACACAAAAACAAAAAAUUAUCGCAAGUUUACCAUGAAUAUGAGAGCUACAACCACUUGCCCAUCUGGGCCAUCUCAAGUUUAUUCUAAAACUCGUGAAGAAGUUUACAAUGAAGAUAACGUGCCUCUCUCAAUCUGUGCAUCAAAAAAAGGCUCACCCUAAUACCUUUAUAUAUGAAUAAUGGAGCUUACCAACAUCUGGCGCUGUGUGUCCUCCAUAUUUAACAACCAAAUGCUUUGAGAUAUGAAGUUGAUGAUGCAUUGGGGACGAUGUUUUGAACUGAGGACUACUUCUAGAUCAUCGACUUCAAGCAAAUUUUGAAGAUCCAUUGCGAUAUCUGAGCCAUAAAUAAUAUGGCACUGCAUGUAGAAAUGUAUACGAUAUACUUGUGUCUUUGACAAAAAUGUAACAAAGAUUGAUAUCUGAACUAAUACUGUGCAUGCCUCAAUUAUAAAAUGACGGGUCCUAAUUUUCAAUAAUAUCGAAAACUAAUGAAGAAAUAGAAUGCAGGCAAAGAGAAAGUGUCCUCUGAUGCACAAACUAAUUUAUUUAUAUUGGCUUCAAACACUCUCUUUACCUGUAGACCAUAUUCAUUUUUUCCAUCAAAGGCCUGGCACGAGCACAAUAUUUAGCCCUUGUUUGGCCCCAAUUAAAAUUAUAAUUCAUUUUUCUGUUUCUUCUUAUCAUCCAUACAUUUUCUAUUAAAAUAAUAUUAUACGUAAUUCCAAAACAUUUUCCUUUUAAGCCACGCAUUCUUCAAAAAACACUUUUCCAACCAUUAGAAUUUCAAUUAAUGGGGGCCAAAUGGGUGCUUAUAAGUGGGGGGCACUGAGCCUUAUACGCAAGAUUUCUCUCCUCCCAAACCAUAUUUAAACCACCUCGUCUAAAAUUGACAAACUUGUAUUUUUGGGUUGCCUACAAACACAUAUUUCUAAGAUUCUUGAGCUUUGAAAGAAAUGCACGUCAUCAUAAACGGUAGAGAUAAAAAAACAAAAAAGUUCACUUACCUUAAGGGCAACUGGAAAUGCCAUGAUAUACUGCAAAAGCGCCUUUUUGAUCAAAACAUCACUUGCACUUCCCACGCUAGCAAUAACUUGCCUUGCCAAGUCAUUUGUUCCUGCAAGAACCUUAGUCCAGGCCUUCCUCCCUUCCUCGUACCUCGAAUACGAUGCCUCAGUCCUAAAGACCAACAAAAGUGCCAAGGCCGGUGCUGCCAACUGAUAGGGCAAAGAAGAGGCUCUCAAAAUGGGGAAAAACUCCGGUAGCCAAUGCAAUGAUACUGCUGAAUUAUAACUGGCUAUAAUUACAGCCACUGAAGUAAAUGCAAUCACUGGAGGAACCAGCGAUAAAAUCACCCGCGAACUGAGACUCGAUAAAAGAUGCCUUAAAUGCCUUAAGGAGCUUCUGUGCUGCACCCAUUUUUCAUGGUCAUAUAAGGACCUUUUCUGUUUCAUACCCCUUUCUUUCACACUGUCAGCCCAGUUGGGUAUUGCAUGAAGAAUCGACGACAGGGUCAAAGUUUCAUUCGAUGACGAAUCCGAUGGCUGUGAAGAACAAAGAAAUCUGAAAGUGAGUUUCUUGGAACUUUUGGAAGGAAAUGGAUAAUGGUGAAACUUGAGGGGUAUCCUGGGAUUGAAAUCGGAAGAAUAAAAAGAGAAAUUGGCUGGAUUUUGAAUUGGGUUUUUGCGCAUGUUCAUUUUUUGAAUUCUUGAUUAGGGUUUGGAGAUUGAAGGAGAAAUAUUUAGAGGAGAAGGGGACAUGACUCUGGUUCAGACCGUAGAAGCGAAAUUCUUUAUUUUCAUUUUCGGAAUUGGAUAGGUAUUUGGAAACGGUUAAUUUGUGACUGAGGUUUUUACACACGUUUCAAUAUUAUAUGCUGCCUUUUCUUUUAUUUUUUGCUUAUUGGCACAAAAUCUCCAUAACUAAUUAUAUACAUAUCACUAUUUUUAUCAUUUGCACCACAUUUUUAAUUGUACUUAAAUUCUUAAUCUUUAACAUUAUAACACUUAUGUCAUUAACAUUUUCAUGUCAUUUUUAUUCUCAAACUCUUCAUUAGCUAACAUAUUUUAUAUUUGAUAACAACGUGCCUCUCUCAAUCUGUGCAUCAAAAAAAGGCUCACCCUAAUACCUUUAUAUAUGAAUAAUGGAGCUUACCAACAUCUGGCGCUGUGUGUCCUCCAUAUUUAACAACCAAAUGCUUUGAGAUAUGAAGUUGAUGAUGCAUUGGGGACGAUGUUUUGAACUGAGGACUACUUCUAGAUAGACAUACUAACUAAUGAAAGGUUUAAGAUAAGAAUUUAAAGAAAAAAUAAACAAAAUAAUUGCUAUAAUGAGCAAAUAUUGAAGAGAUAAGUUGCAAUAAAAUGUGAUGUAUCAAAUAAAAAUUGUGAUGACAAUAUAUCUACACAUCUCCAUAUUCUUUGGACUUAUUGUGAAAGAUAUACUUGUGUCUUUGACAAAAAUGUAACAAAGAUUGAUAUCUGAACUAAUACUGUGCAUGCCUCAAUUAUAAAAUGACGGGUCCUAAUUUUCAAUAAUAUCGAAAACUAAUGAAGAAAUAGAAUGCAGGCAAAGAGAAAGUGUCCUCUGAUGCACAAACUAAUUUAUUUAUAUUGGCUUCAAACACUCUCUUUACCUGUAGACCAUAUUCAUUUUUUCCAUCAAAGGCCUGGCACGAGCACAAUAUUUAGCCCUUGUUUGGCCCCAAUUAAAAUUAUAAUUCAUUUUUCUCUUUCUUCUUAUCAUCCGUACAUUUUCUAAUAAAAUAAUAUUAUACAUAAUUCCAAAACAUUUUCCUUUUUAGCCACGCAUUCUUCAAAAAACACUUUUCCAACCAUUAGAAUUUCAAUUAAUGGGGGCCAAAUGGGUGCUUAUAAGUGGGGGGCACUGAGCCUUAUACGCAAGAUUUCUCUCCUCCCAAACCAUAUUUAAACCACCUCGUCUAAAAUUGACAAACUUGUAUUUUUGGGAGUUAAAAUUAUACACAACUAACUUGUUACGUGUACAAUUUUUUUUUUAAAAAAAAAAUCAAAAUAUUAUGAAGAAGAUAAGAGAAGUUUGUUUAUAUGACGAAAUUAAAUAUCAUUUUCCUGAUUAUAUGCAAUUGUUGCAUACUCGUAUUCGAAAAUGAGCUUCUUACCAAUUUGUUAUAUGCAUCAAUGCUUCUAAAAUAUCUUCUUUGAAACUGUUUCUGGCCUCAGACUAAGCUCACUUACCUAUAUUAAAAGCAAACUACGAGCUAUAGUAUAAAUCAGAGGUGUUAGUAGAUCUUUUGUAAUGGCAAAACUAAUAAGAUAUUUUUGUUCGUUAGGCAAAGAAGAGGCUCUCAAAAUGGGGAAAAACUCCGGUAGCCAAUGCAAUGAUACUGCUGAAUUAUAACUGGCUAUAAUUACAGCCACUGAAGUAAAUGCAAUCACCGGAGGAACCAGCGAUAAAAUCACCCGCGAACUGAGACUCGAUAAAAGAUGCCUUAAAUGCCUUAAGGAACUUCUGUGCUCCACCCAUUUUUCAUGGUCAUAUAAGGACCUUUUCUGUUUCAUACCCCUUUCUUUCACACUGUCAGCCCAGUUGGGUAUUGCAUGAAGAAUCGACGACAG